This 214-nucleotide long non-coding RNA is filed under the name Elaeis guineensis (African oil palm). Its description in RNAcentral is "long non-coding RNA (EGUI_LNC051095)". The record is from RNAcentral. Lineage: Eukaryota; Viridiplantae; Streptophyta; Magnoliopsida; Arecales; Arecaceae.
UAUGUUUAGGACAACCUACCAGGAUCCUAUGCUUGGGACAGCCUCCACGAGCUUAUACGUGGAUCAACCGAUCAGGAGCUCAUAUCUGAGAUAGUCCAUCAGGAGCUUGUACCUGGGACAGCCUCCACAGGCUUUUAUAUAUGGGACAGCCGGUCAGGAGCUCAUGCCUGGGACAGCCUUGAUGGGCUUAUGAGUGAAAAAUGUGACUGGAUGG